Long non-coding RNA from Cannabis sativa, 1252 nucleotides. RefSeq lists it as uncharacterized. The transcript is spliced from 2 exons. Lineage: Eukaryota; Viridiplantae; Streptophyta; Magnoliopsida; Rosales; Cannabaceae. The record is from RefSeq and is a predicted model, not a curated record.
UAAAAGUUCUAUUCCAUUCUAUACAAUACCAAACAUGAUAAUUCUUAUUCCGUUGUUGAUUCCAUAAUCUUUACCAAACAAAAGAAUAAAAAUUCCAUUCCAUUCCAUUCUUAUUCCCAUUCCCAUUCCAUUUUCACUUAGUAACCAAACACCACCUUAAAACUCAAUUUAAUAAACAGAAACUUUGGGAUUGGUAUAUUAUAGGAAGAAGAAAGAGUAUUAGGAUUUAGGAGAAAAAAGUCCCACAUGGAAGAAAAAGAGGAGGUGUAUGGAAAAAUAAGGGUAUAAAAGGAGUGAGUUGAGAGCUGUAAUAAGUAUCUUUGCGCUUGGGGCAAUGACGCAGCUAGUGAGGUUCUAACCGAGGCGCGUCUAUUGCUGGUUGAAAACUAUUUCCAAACCCCCUCUUAGGCCUUGGUUACGCCUAGGCCUUCGAGAAUUUCUGGAAGGGCUCCCUUUGGGGGUCAUGCAAUUACAAUUAUUGUGCUCUUCUUUAUGGGAUGUUUGACAAAAUUGAUUAAAUUUUGCACUAAAACUUUUUGGCUUUGAUUCAUUUAAGGGAAAAAUGAUAGCUAGGUUGAUUGAAUUCUUAAAAAGGACUUACUUGGCUCAUAUUGAUUGGGCUUGAAAAACUGCUUCGGCCACACACAGCAAUGCUUUUUAAAGUCAACAUUUUUUGGCAUUUUGAUUACUCAAACUGAGAAAACCGAAAUACAAAGCAUUUGUACUAAUGGGAUAUCUCUUUUUAUUUGUAAUUUCAUAGUUUCUUUGUACAAGCAAAGUUGUCUAAUUUUAUCAGGCAAAGUGACAGGUGGCUUAUCAUAAAUCAGGAAGAAAUUGAUCCACUAUCUCUUAUCUACUAGUCUGUUGUCUAUUUUAUACAUGUGAUGAAACAGUUUUAAGUUACUUUAACUUCAUUGAACAAGAUUUGGUGAUUGAGUAGCUUUAUCUAAUGGGAAACCCGAUGCUUCUGCAAGCUCUGAAAAUUCUAGCUCACCACUCAGAACCUGCCAAAUUGCACAAGCUUUAUUCAGCACUUUUAUUGAAAGGAUAAAGAUGAGCUGAAUUUUGGGAUGGGAUGGAAUGGGAGGGUCCAAUGGGGAUAUAGAUAUACCAUUAUGUUGUAGAUAAUAGAUAAGAGAUUUUAUUGGAUUAAAAUCAUAGGCAUGUGUGAUGUGAUGUGAUAUGCUUACCUUCCCAUUAAUCACCCAUGUUGGGAAACCUUCAAUUCCAACUUCUGCACAUGAUUUCUCCA